Molecule: non-coding RNA, 206 nt
Organism: Pelobates cultripes (western spadefoot toad)
Lineage: Eukaryota; Metazoa; Chordata; Amphibia; Anura; Pelobatidae
Source: the annotation of a GenBank genome assembly
AUUUCUCUUGGACUCCAUUUAAAUUGCUCCAGUCUGAUAAUGACUCCUCUACCCAUAUUCUAAUUUUAGAAAAGUCUGUUUUUUUAAAGUCUAAAACUUUUGUUUUUGUGUGGUGUGACUCAGUCACUGUUCUUAUAUUAAACCACACUGACUGAUGAUCACUGGAUCCUAAACUUUCACCUACAGUAAUAUCUGAUACCAAAUCU